This 324-nucleotide ribosomal RNA is filed under the name uncultured eukaryote. RNAcentral describes it as "partial 18S ribosomal RNA". It matches the Rfam family "Eukaryotic small subunit ribosomal RNA", at positions 1470 to 1796 of the family's 1831-position model. The record is from RNAcentral.
CCCUUAGAUGUUCUGGGCCGCACGCGCGCUACACUGAUGUGUCCAGUAAGCACCUAACCUAUUCCGAGAGGAGCGGGUAACCUUAGCAAAGCACAUCGUGAUGGGGAUAGAUUAUUGCAAUUAUUAGUCUUGAACGAGGAAUUCCUAGUAAGCACAAGUCAUCAGCUUGUGUUGAUUACGUCCCUGCCCUUUGUACACACCGCCCGUCGCUCCUACCGAUUGAAUGUUCCGGUGAGCUCUUCGGACUGCGCGGUCUGCAGUUUCUGCGUUCCGUGCGGAAAGUUGUGCAAACCUUAACAUUUAGAGGAAGGAGAAGUCGUAACA